CUGUCCACUUUAUUUUGCAAGUCAUCUAAAUAUUUAAGUGGUAGCCAAAGAAAUUCAUUUUCAGGUGAUUGAUUAGUUUUUGUAGAUGUGUAUGAAUUUUGAUCUCUCCCCUGAAGCUAAGCUGAAGUGAAGUGAUAAUUCUGUUGAACAUGAAUUGUUAGAUAUCAAAUGAAUUCCAAACUUUAAGACUUCGUUUCAAUAUGAAGGGAUAUGUUAAGAUUCGAGCAUUGAUUGGUGUAUACAAUUAAAAGAAUGUCUUUGUGCUUGCAUGAUGAACUGGGUUGAAAAAUUUUGAAAAUAUUAAAUGUUUCCCUCAGCUUGUUGUGAUCCUCCUGGACAUCCAAGUGUUUUCGACAUUGAUGAAGAUUUUGUCAAUCUCUCUCUUGGACCAAACCAAGAAAUGAUGGUUUUAAGAAGAUUAUAGGAUAUGUCAUAGAAUACGAAGACCCCACCACUGGAGGCAGGCUAAUGACUACCCAGUAGAUGAGUGUGUUUAUGAGGUGAAGGGAUUAAAAAAGGACAAGGAAUACAACUUCCACAUACAGGCCAAGAAUCUUGAAGGUUUUUAAAUUAGUGAGUCUAGUGAUGUGAUUGGUCCCAUAACUCCCAAGCCCAAAUACACCAAGGUUUUGCCACCUGGUGUACCAGAGGCUGUCAACAAUUCUAUAACUUAUCUGAAAUGGGAACCACCUAAACAUAAUGGUGGCUGUAAAA
Saccostrea echinata is the source of this 714-nucleotide long non-coding RNA. RefSeq lists it as uncharacterized. The record is from RefSeq and is a predicted model, not a curated record. The transcript is spliced from 3 exons. NCBI's taxonomy places the organism in Eukaryota, Metazoa, Mollusca, Bivalvia, Ostreida, Ostreidae.